Molecule: unclassified non-coding RNA, 331 nt
Filed under: soil metagenome
Description: partial contains 5.8S ribosomal RNA, internal transcribed spacer 2, and large subunit ribosomal RNA
Rfam family: 5.8S ribosomal RNA (bases 1-120)
Source: RNAcentral
GAUGAAGAACGUAGCGAAAUGCGAUAAGUAGUGUGAAUUGCAGAAUUCAGUGAAUCAUCGAAUCUUUGAACGCACAUUGCGCCCUUUGGUAUUCCUUAGGGCAUGCCUGUUCGAGCGUCAUUUAAACCUUCAAGCUCAGCUUGGUGUUGGGUGACUGUCCGCUUCACCGCGGACUCGCCUCAAAAUUAUUGGCGGCCGGUACAUUGGCUUCGAGCGCAGCAGAAACGCGAACUCGGGCCCGUCGUAUUGGCUCCCAGAAGCUAUCUUCACAAUUUUGACCUCGGAUCAGGUAGGGAUACCCGCUGAACUUAAGCAUAUCAAUAAGCGAGGA